UAUGUGAUCGUCUCUCGCAUAUCAAUAAGCGGAGGAAAAGAAACUAACAAGGAUUCCCCUAGUAACGGCGAGUGAAGCGGGAAGAGCUCAAAUUUGAAAUCUUAAAGGGUUUCCCUUUACGAAUUGUAGUUUAAAGAAGUGUUUUCUGUUGAGGUUUUGGUAAAAGUUCCUUGGAAUAGGACAUCAUAGAGGGUGAGAAUCCCGUAUUUGACCUUUACUUUCAACUUUGUGAUACACUUUCAAAGAGUCGGAUUGUUUGGGAAUGCAGUCCAUAAUGGGUGGUAAAUUUCAUCUAAAGCUAAAUAUUGGCGAGAGACCGAUAGCGAACAAGUACCGUGAGGGAAAGAUGAAAAGAACUUUGAAAAGAGAGUUAAACAGUACGUGAAAUUGUCAAAAGGGAAGCGUUUGACACCAGUGUUGUUUUUCUGAAAAUCAAUUAAAGAACUGUUUAUGCUAAGUUGUUUAGACUUUAUCAGCUAACUGUUUAGUUUUGAGCUUUUCUUUAAUGCACUUUUCAGUUAACAAGUCAACAUCAAUUUCUUUUGCUGUAAAAAAGCUUGAGGAAGGUGGCUUGAGAUUCGUCUUAAGUGUUUAUAGCCUCUUGCCUAUGCAGUCGGAGAGAUUGAGGUCUGCAGCGUAGAUCCUUCGGGGCUAAAUGCAUUUGUGCUAAGUUAUAGCAUUUUAUAGACAACUUGUUGACUAUGAUUUGUCUUGUAGCUUACUCGCUUAUGUUAUUUUACCUACGCUUAGGAUGUUGAGCGCAUGUCUCUCUCU
RNAcentral lists this ribosomal RNA (774 nucleotides) under uncultured Neocallimastigales. RNAcentral describes it as "partial large subunit ribosomal RNA". It matches the Rfam family "Eukaryotic large subunit ribosomal RNA", at positions 24 to 616 of the family's 3401-position model. Lineage: Eukaryota; Fungi; Neocallimastigomycota; Neocallimastigomycetes; Neocallimastigales. The record is from RNAcentral.